GGGGAAGGGGAGGGGGAGGGAAGGCAGGUGGCUGGGGCAGAACUCCUGGGUCUUGAGGACAUAGAGGGAGAGAGAGCCGGAGUCGGGGAGAUUAGAGGAAGCGAUUGUGCCUGUGCGUGUGCGUGUGUGUGUGUGUGUGUGUGUGUGUGUUUGGGGGCGGGCUGGGGGGAUGGGGAGGCGGGGAGUAGCGGAGGUGGUAAUUUAGGUAGUGGGUUUCCUGCGGAGGGGGAGGAGGAGGAGGAGGAGAAGGACCAGGAGGAAGAGGAGGAGGAGGACCAGUUGGAAGCAGAGGAAGAAGAGGACCAGGAGGAAGAGGAGGAUGCUACGUGGAGCUGGCUCGGGGGGUCGCCUCGGACCCAGGCUCGGUAAUACAGCUAAUGCUCCAUGAUCCUGAAGGCUGAUCAAGUGUGUGGACUAUUCAGGCUCUUCUCUUCCCUUCUGCUUCCCAGAAUUUGGGCCAUCUCCCUGCCCUUCAGCGAGGGUGGGCACAGGUGGGUAAAUGUCAAUAAAACCUAACGUGCCCCUCUGGAAGGGGAAAUAGCUGAUUAAAAUGAGGAUUUUGAAUGAUCUGUGUUGUUGGAUUAUCCAUGGUUUCCUCGGCCCAUUGGCCUGGUGGGCCCUGCAGGGUCCUCUUUCUUUCUGCCCCAUCAUCUGUCACCACCAGGCUUUGAAUUGUCACCGGUGAAGUGGCUUUCAGCUGAUGCCUUCAGGAGCAGCGUGGCCUAGUGGAAAGAUCCUGGGUCUUGGAGUUAGAGGAUCUGGGUCCUAAUCCUGACUCUACCACGUGCCUCCUGUGUGACCCUGGGCAAAUCAUUUUGCUUUUUUGUGCCUCACUUUCCACAUCUGUAAAAUGGGGAUUCAGCCCUUGAUCUCCCUCCUAGUAAGACUGUGAGCGCCGAGUGGAAGAGGGACACAAUCCUACAUGAUUACCUUGUAAUUAUCUCAGCACUUAAAACAGUGCUUGACACACAGUAAGAACCUAACAAAUACCACUUUUAUUAUUACUAUUAUUCCUUGAACAAAUUUCAGAAUAAUAAAUCAUGAGGAGUAGUAGACAGAGCAUGGGCCUGAGAGUCAGAAGGAUCUGCGUUCUAAACUUAGUUCUGACACUUGUCUGUUGUGUGACCUUGGGCUUCACUUCAUUUCUCUGUGCCUCAGUUACUUCAUCUGUAAAAUGAGGAUUAAGACUGUGAGCCCCAUGCAUGGAUUGUAUCCAUUUUGAUUAUCUUGUAUCUACCCCACUGCUUAGAACACUGUCUGAUACAUAGUAAGUGCUUAAAAACUAUGAUUUUAAAAGGUAAAUUUAUUGAGCAGUUACUAGAUGCAGAGUAGAGUAUUAAGGGUUUGGAAGAGUAUAAUAAAACAGAGUUGGCAGCCCUGGGUACUGUGGAAGAGCCAGGAAGGUGAAGGAGUUAUGUGGGGGUGAGGAGGACGGUGUGUCCGCUGGUCUAGUGUCGGUUGGAUAAAGGGAUUGGAAAUCGGGUCACCUUCAGUGGUUCAGUGGAGCCUCUAGGCCUCCUGCUGGGUCUGGUCUCUAGACUAUAAACUCCUUUUGGGUAGGGAAUGUGUCCGUUUAUUGUUGCAUUAUACUUUCCCAAGCACUUAAUACAGUGCUCUGCACACAGUAAGCACUCAGUAAAUACGACCGAAAGAACGAAGCAACGAAUGAGGGGAAAAAAAUAGCUUGAAGGCAGAGGAGCAGGAAGUGAGGGCUGAUUCUAUGGGCAGAGUGGGUUUCUGCCCCAUUCAUUCAGUGGGGUUCUGGUGAAUAGAGGAUCAGGGAUGGGGGAGAGAAGAAGACAAGGGAAGGGAACUGGGGAUAGAGAAAGAGACAGGGGUGACCUCUGGGUCUAGGAACUCCAGGGUAGAAGAGGUGCUGGGGCAAGCAGUCUGUCCGGGCUUGUAAAAGCUGUUGUCUGGAGGGGCUGGUGGGAGUAGCUGCCAGCUCAAGCCGAAGGCCACUGCCUGCAUUGUGUAGACUUCUGCCUGCUUUUGUCCCAAAUUAAUGCUUUGUGGUUAGUGAACAUUGGCCACUGAAGGAAAUCAAAGUACUUAAAAGACAGGGCUGUGUUAAUUCUCCAGACACCCCCUGCGGAGGAGAUGGAUGCAUAGUAUUAGUGAUUAAAAGGAAAGAAACCCACUCUCACCCUUCUCUUGCUUUCCCUCCCCCUCUUGCCAGCUGAGAGCACAUCUUCCAAACUACUCCCCUCCCCCCGGGGCAUAUCACAAUUAAGGAUAGACUCUAAAGUGAAAGGGAACCUUCAUUUGAAGCUUCAGCUAUUCCACCCUAUGGAGUUUUAAAAAUGGUGGGGGGAAAGAGCCCAGAGCGUUUAGGUGACUUGCCCGAGGUCACACAGCUCAUUGCUCUGCAGCUUGGAAUAGCAUCCUGGUCUCCUGACUGACUUAGGUGACUAAAUGAGUGUCUGGCUCUCUCUAGGUUUGUCGCUCGAGGGCUCCUUAGAUAGCUGCAGUAGGUAGAUCUAGAAAUAUAGUAGUUCGUCUGAGCUCUCUAUAUAUAUAUCACAGAGAGGAGAUUGCUCUCUAUAUAUACUCAGGGCGAGUGGGUGUGCGAAUAGUGUUAGAAAAUAGGUUAUUAAGUAACAGGCUCACCAACCUGAGCUGAAUCAGCCUGAAUUGCUUGCCCAUCCUGGCUGGCCAUUGGAAAUUUAUAACACCUAUUAAUUACAACCGAACAA
This 2696-nucleotide long non-coding RNA is filed under the name Ornithorhynchus anatinus (platypus). RNAcentral describes it as "lncRNA (ENSOANG00000044220.1)". Lineage: Eukaryota; Metazoa; Chordata; Mammalia; Monotremata; Ornithorhynchidae. The record is from RNAcentral.